RNAcentral lists this transfer RNA (91 nucleotides) under Cyanobacteria bacterium QS_8_64_29. RNAcentral describes it as "tRNA-Ser". It matches the Rfam family "tRNA". Rfam says of the family: Transfer RNA (tRNA) molecules are approximately 80 nucleotides in length. Their secondary structure includes four short double-helical elements and three loops (D, anti-codon, and T loops). Further hydrogen bonds mediate the characteristic L-shaped molecular structure. tRNAs have two regions of fundamental functional importance: the anti-codon, which is responsible for specific mRNA codon recognition, and the 3' end, to which the tRNAs corresponding amino acid is attached (by aminoacyl-tRNA synthetases). tRNAs cope with the degeneracy of the genetic code in two manners: having more than one tRNA (with a specific anti-codon) for a particular amino acid; and 'wobble' base-pairing, i.e. permitting non-standard base-pairing at the 3rd anti-codon position. Lineage: Bacteria; Bacillati; Cyanobacteriota. The record is from RNAcentral.
GGAGAGGUGGCAGAGUGGUCGAUUGCGGCCGACUUGAAAUCGGCUGAGCCCGAGCAGGGCUCCGAGAGUUCGAAUCUCUCCCUCUCCGCCU